Molecule: transfer RNA, 63 nt
Filed under: uncultured Prevotella sp.
Lineage: Bacteria; Pseudomonadati; Bacteroidota; Bacteroidia; Bacteroidales; Prevotellaceae
Also listed under: 1 other name
Rfam family: tRNA
About the family: Transfer RNA (tRNA) molecules are approximately 80 nucleotides in length. Their secondary structure includes four short double-helical elements and three loops (D, anti-codon, and T loops).
Source: RNAcentral
CGUAGUUCAGUUGGUUAGAGCGUCAGAUUGUGGUUCUGAAUGUCGUGGGUUCGAGUCCCACCG